RNAcentral lists this ribosomal RNA (656 nucleotides) under uncultured Vibrionaceae bacterium. RNAcentral's name for it is "bacterial SSU rRNA". It matches the Rfam family "Bacterial small subunit ribosomal RNA", at positions 28 to 671 of the family's 1533-position model. Lineage: Bacteria; Pseudomonadati; Pseudomonadota; Gammaproteobacteria; Vibrionales; Vibrionaceae. The record is from RNAcentral.
AUUGAACGCUGGCGGCAGGCCUAACACAUGCAAGUCGAGCGGUAACAGAAAGAAAGCUUGCUUUCUUUGCUGACGAGCGGCGGACGGGUGAGUAAUGCCUGGGAAUAUACCCUGAUGUGGGGGAUAACUAUUGGAAACGAUAGCUAAUACCGCAUAAUCUCUUCGGAGCAAAGAGGGGGACCUUCGGGCCUCUCGCGUCAGGAUUAGCCCAGGUGGGAUUAGCUAGUUGGUGGGGUAAUGGCACACCAAGGCAACGAUCCCUAGCUGGUCUGAGAGGAUGAUCAGCCACACUGGAACUGAGACACGGUCCAGACUCCUACGGGAGGCAGCAGUGGGGAAUAUUGCACAAUGGGGGAAACCCUGAUGCAGCCAUGCCGCGUGUAUGAAGAAGGCCUUCGGGUUGUAAAGUACUUUCAGUUGUGAGGAAGGCAGUUAAGUUAAUAGCUUUGCUGUUUGACGUUAGCAACAGAAGAAGCACCGGCUAACUCCGUGCCAGCAGCCGCGGUAAUACGGAGGGUGCGAGCGUUAAUCGGAAUUACUGGGCGUAAAGCGCAUGCAGGCGGUCUGUUAAGCAAGAUGUGAAAGCCCGGGGCUCAACCUCGGAACAGCAUUUUGAACUGGCAGACUAGAGUCCUGUAGAGGGGGGUAGAAUUUCA